CAGAGGGUAGUUUAUUUAAAAUAUUAAUUUUGGGGAUUAAUGAAAGGAGAUUACUUUUUCCUCUGA
RNAcentral lists this transfer RNA (66 nucleotides) under Elimaea berezovskii. RNAcentral's name for it is "tRNA-Pro". Lineage: Eukaryota; Metazoa; Arthropoda; Insecta; Orthoptera; Tettigoniidae. The record is from RNAcentral.